This is a long non-coding RNA of Rhodamnia argentea, 197 nucleotides long. RefSeq lists it as uncharacterized. The record is from RefSeq and is a predicted model, not a curated record. The transcript is spliced from 3 exons. Lineage: Eukaryota; Viridiplantae; Streptophyta; Magnoliopsida; Myrtales; Myrtaceae.
UCUUCCGACAAAAAAAAAAAAAGGAAAACAAAGUCAGGAUGUCUGCUUUCGCACAUGUAUUGGAGAUUUGUUUCGCCCGGUGAACUGUAUAUGAUUGCAUUCAUUGGCAAGAGUUGUUAGGCAAGUAAUCUUGUCAAGACUGUUGGCUUAUGAGAAUUGGAAUAGAGGAUUUACCUCAGUAUCAUGGAAUUUAUGCA